Molecule: ribosomal RNA, 510 nt
Filed under: uncultured Glomus
Lineage: Eukaryota; Fungi; Glomeromycota; Glomeromycetes; Glomerales; Glomeraceae
Description: SSU rRNA
Rfam family: Eukaryotic small subunit ribosomal RNA
Source: RNAcentral
AGCAGCCGCGGUAAUUCCAGCUCCAAUAGCGUAUAUUAAAGUUGUUGCAGUUAAAAAGCUCGUAGUUGAAUUUCGGGAUCAAUAUAUUGGUCAUGCUUAGGUAUGUACUGGUAUUAUUGAUUUCUCCCUUCUGAAGAACCAUGAUGUCAUUAAUUUGAUGUCGUGGGGAAUCAGGACUGUUACUUUGAAAAAAUUAGAGUGUUUAAAGCAGGCUUUCGCUUGAAUACAUUAGCAUGGAAUAAUGAAAUAGGACGUUUGAUUCUAUUUUGUUGGUUUCUAGGAUCGACGUAAUGAUUAAUAGGGAUAGUUGGGGGCAUUAGUAUUCAAUUGUCAGAGGUGAAAUUCUUGGAUUUAUUGAAGACUAACUACUGCGAAAGCAUUUGCCAAGGAUGUUUUCAUUAAUCAAGAACGAAAGUUAGGGGAUCGAAGACGAUCAGAUACCGUCGUAGUCUUAACCAUAAACUAUGCCGACUAGGGAUCGGAUGAUGUUAACUUUUUAAUGACUCAUUC